Long non-coding RNA from Nothoprocta perdicaria, 348 nucleotides. RefSeq lists it as uncharacterized. The record is from RefSeq and is a predicted model, not a curated record. NCBI's taxonomy places the organism in Eukaryota, Metazoa, Chordata, Aves, Tinamiformes, Tinamidae. The transcript has 2 exons.
GUUAUCCCUGAACUGUCAGGACUCUGAGCUGCUUGGAUGAAUGAAUUGCUUCAUAAAGGCUUCUGUGAAGUCAAAGAGAGGGUCUCAGUCUUGAAGGGAACACCUGGCAAGAAAUACUAAUCAUCAGGUGGACUUACGUCUUCUUUUGGCAAAGAAUUGAACACUCUGGUCAUCAAAAACRUGUUACCUGCCCCUCUGUUUGUGCCAUGAUGCGACGUCUGCCUUGCUUGGAAUACAUCUGUACGUGCUGUGGAGGUGCCAGGCAGUGAAAGGGACUUGCAUGCAAGUUAGACCACCUAGGCUGUCACCUCUGCUUUUGUUGUAUGUGGGCUGUAUAUAAAACACGUC